AUUGAACGCUGGCGGCAUGCCUUACACAUGCAAGUCGAGCGGCAGCGCGGGGGCAACCCUGGCGGCGAGCGGCGGACGGGUGAGUAAUACAUCGGAACGUGUCCUUUCGUGGGGGAUAGCUCGGCGAAAGCCGGAUUAAUACCGCAUAAGCUCUGAGGAGGAAAGCGGGGGCUCCGUAAGGACCUCGCGCUGUUGGAGCGGCCGAUGUCGGAUUAGCUAGUUGGUGGGGAAAGGCCCACCAAGGCGACGAUCCGUAGCUGGUCUGAGAGGAUGAUCAGCCACACUGGAACUGAGACACGGUCCAGACUCCUACGGGAGGCAGCAGUGGGGAAUUUUGGACAAUGGGGGCAACCCUGAUCCAGCCAUUCCGCGUGAGUGAAGAAGGCC
This 387-nucleotide ribosomal RNA is filed under the name uncultured bacterium. Its description in RNAcentral is "bacterial SSU rRNA". It matches the Rfam family "Bacterial small subunit ribosomal RNA", at positions 28 to 416 of the family's 1533-position model. The record is from RNAcentral.